GACGAACGCUGGAGGCGUGCUUAACACAUGCAAGUCGAACGAUGAAAUGGAGCUUGCUCCAUGGAUUAGUGGCGAACGGGUGAGUAACCCGUGAAUAACCUGCCCUUAAUUUUGGAAUAACCCAGGGAAACCUGCGCUAAUACCGGAUAAGUAAACCUGUGGCAUCACAUGGUUUUGGAAAGUUUUUCGAUUAAGGAUGGAUUCGCGGCCUAUCAGCUUGUUGGUGAGGUAAUGGCUAACCAAGGCGACGACGGGUAGCCGGCCUGAGAGGGUGAACGGCCACACUGGAACUGAGACACGGCCCAGACUCCUACGGGAGGCAGCAGUGGGGAAUAUUGCGCAAUGGACGAAAGUCUGACGCAGCGACGCCUCGUGAGGGACGAAGGUAUUCGGAUUGUAAACGUCUUUCAGCAGGGACGAAGCGAAAGUGACGGUACCUGCAGAAGAAGCACCGGCUAACUAUGUGCCAGCCGCCGCCGUAA
Molecule: ribosomal RNA, 482 nt
Filed under: uncultured bacterium
Lineage: Bacteria
Description: partial 16S ribosomal RNA
Rfam family: Bacterial small subunit ribosomal RNA
Source: RNAcentral